Molecule: long non-coding RNA, 555 nt
Organism: Xenopus laevis (African clawed frog)
Lineage: Eukaryota; Metazoa; Chordata; Amphibia; Anura; Pipidae
Exons: 5
Source: RefSeq, a predicted model, not a curated record
CUGGGACACACACCCUGUACCUCUCCUAUUCCCUCUGUUCUCUUCUAUGCCAGAAAAUGACACAAAACCACAGAAAAAUUUGUUCAGAAAAACCACGUCCAUUGAAUUCAUGUUCAACAAGAAAUACUCACACUGGCCCCUGUCUUCAUUGGGUUUCCAAGGUCACAGAUGACCAGCCGGGUCUGAUUCUCCAUCUCAUAAGCACAAGGUGCCAAGCAGCAACAACUUUCUCCCCACUCACCUCUGCGCAUCUGGGAGGUAGAAGUCCACAGAGAAACCAAAGAAACUGCCUCCUGCCCCAGUGUAAACUGCCGGCUGCUCCACUGCCAAGUUAAAUCCACGGACUGAGCUGAAGACUUUUGGAUAACCUCACAAGCAAGAGCAUUCAGCAGUUGCGCCAUUAUAUGAACUAGGAAAUGAGAGCGAGGAAACUUCGGGCGACUUCGGAAUACGAAUCGGUGCGUGUGCCAUGCCAUAGGCAACUUUUUAUUAUUUCUUUUUUAUCGUUUUUUAAUUAUUUGCCUUCCACUUACUCUUUUCAUCUUUCAAAUAGGA